AUUGAACGCUGGCGGCAUGCCUUACACAUGCAAGUCGAACGGCAGCACGGGAGCAAUCCUGGUGGCGAGUGGCGAACGGGUGAGUAAUAUAUCGGAACGUGCCCAGUCGUGGGGGAUAACGUAGCGAAAGCUACGCUAAUACCGCAUACGAUCUACGGAUGAAAGCGGGGGAUCGCAAGACCUCGCGCGAUUGGAGCGGCCGACAUCAGAUUAGGUAGUUGGUGAGGUAAAGGCUCACCAAGCCGACGAUCUGUAGCUGGUCUGAGAGGACGACCAGCCACACUGGGACUGAGACACGGCCCAGACUCCUACGGGAGGCAGCAGUGGGGAAUUUUUGGACAAUGGGCGCAAGCCUGAUCCAGCAAUGCCGCGUGCAGGAUGAAGGCCUCGGUUGGUUAACGUUA
Molecule: ribosomal RNA, 404 nt
Filed under: uncultured bacterium
Lineage: Bacteria
Description: bacterial SSU rRNA
Rfam family: Bacterial small subunit ribosomal RNA
Source: RNAcentral